CUUGACAUCCAGCGAACUUUCCAGAGAUGGAUUGGUGCCUUCGGGAACGCUGAGACAGGUGCUGCAUGGCUGUCGUCAGCUCGUGUUGUGAAAUGUUGGGUUAAGUCCCGCAACGAGCGCAACCCUUAUCCUUUGUUGCCAGCGAUUCGGUCGGGAACUCAAAGGAGACUGCCGGUGAUAAACCGGAGGAAGGUGGGGAUGACGUCAAGUCAUCAUGGCCCUUACGAGUAGGGCUACACACGUGCUACAAUGGCGCAUACAAAGAGAAGCGACCUCGCGAGAGCAAGCGGACCUCAUAAAGUGCGUCGUAGUCCGGAUCGGAGUCUGCAACUCGACUCCGUGAAGUCGGAAUCGCUAGUAAUCGUGGAUCAGAAUGCCACGGUGAAUACGUUCCCGGGCCUUGUACACACCGCCCGUCACACCAUGGGAGUGGGUUGCAAAAGAAAUAGGUAGCUUAACCUUCGGGAGGGCGCUUACCACUUUGUGAUUCAUGACUGGGGUGAAGUCGUAACAAGGUAAGCGUAGCGAG
RNAcentral lists this ribosomal RNA (529 nucleotides) under uncultured bacterium. RNAcentral describes it as "bacterial SSU rRNA". It matches the Rfam family "Bacterial small subunit ribosomal RNA", at positions 980 to 1509 of the family's 1533-position model. The record is from RNAcentral.